CGGCAACAUUAACGGUUUGGAUCCAUAUGAAAUUCCCAACAAAUAGUGGAGUACCGACGGAGACUUGUUGCCGCACAUUUGCAUUACAGAUAUCUUCGGCUACCUUGUUUGUUUUGUGAGCGCCUACACUUCAGAAUAGUUCCGAAGCUACAAGUCAUUGGAGUCUCAUGUGCAGUUCACAAAUGGAUAUGUUCAGGAGUUGCAGAUCAUAAAACCGGCAAACAGUAUACGUUACAGUAAUCUGGACAAAGACAGGAAUGAUGAAUGUGCACAGACCAAUGGCCAAGUGAAAGAGCUCUGUCUGGAGGUCUGGGGUUUCAUGAGACAGCAGCUACCAAUCUCUACUCGUCACCUUUCACUCCCUCUCAAGGAUUUGACCGAGUUAGAGAAACCAGAGCGGAUCGUUCAACUAAAGAUGCCAGACGUGAUGGUCAUUUAAGAGUUAUUUAUAUUUAUUUUACUUGAUUUUUAUUUGUUUAUUUUGAGAAAAGAACGUUUUUCAUUCAACACACAUCUACCAGGUGAAUGCUGUUUUUAAUGUUUUCUAGCAGGAAAACUACAUCACCAUGACAUUUAUUUGUAACCUAUCCAUGUUUUGUGUGAA
Molecule: long non-coding RNA, 604 nt
Organism: Carassius auratus (goldfish)
Lineage: Eukaryota; Metazoa; Chordata; Actinopteri; Cypriniformes; Cyprinidae
Exons: 3
Source: RefSeq, a predicted model, not a curated record